GCGGGGAUAGCUCAGUUGGGACAGCAUCAGACCGAAGAUCUGAAGGUCGCGUGUUCGAUUCACGCUCACCGCA
Molecule: transfer RNA, 73 nt
Filed under: Punica granatum (pomegranate)
Lineage: Eukaryota; Viridiplantae; Streptophyta; Magnoliopsida; Myrtales; Lythraceae
Rfam family: tRNA
About the family: Transfer RNA (tRNA) molecules are approximately 80 nucleotides in length. Their secondary structure includes four short double-helical elements and three loops (D, anti-codon, and T loops).
Source: Rfam by way of RNAcentral